CUUUAAUAAAUUGGAAUGAAUGCGCAAACCAUUUGUCAAGGAUAGAUGUGAUCGUAAAGACACCAUCAGCUGGGCAGCUUUAUGUGCGACUUGAGGUGUCUGACAACGUUUCACAUGUCAAGAGAUUUGUUAAAAGCCGUCUUGGAAUCGAAGAAAAUGAUCAAUUAUUGAUUGAUCUUUAUUCGGAUAAACCAGUUGGAGCAGACGUGGAACUACAACAGUGUGGAAAUGGCCGCUUUUGCUCAUUUUACGUAGCGACAGAUCGACAAUGUUUAAGAGAAGCAGAUUUGGAAGACCAAGAACACAAACUAAUGUACUGUCUAGUUACUGGAAGCGAGAAACUGUCAACGCUUUUGUCCAUUGCUCGCGAAAACAUCAGGACUGAACCAAUUAUUGAUUUGUCUACAAAUACAAACAAAUGCAUACUAGAACUGGACUGGUGCAAAGGGGAAACACACAUGCGCACCAUUAUUCGACUGGAAUCAGAAUCAGAAAUAAUGGAUGCCAGACAGAUGAGAGGAGCGUUGAUUCAUGUAAACACUGUCUUUCAAAGA
Mya arenaria is the source of this 554-nucleotide long non-coding RNA. RefSeq lists it as uncharacterized. The record is from RefSeq and is a predicted model, not a curated record. The transcript is spliced from 3 exons. NCBI's taxonomy places the organism in Eukaryota, Metazoa, Mollusca, Bivalvia, Myida, Myidae.